RNAcentral lists this ribosomal RNA (363 nucleotides) under Triticum aestivum (bread wheat). RNAcentral describes it as "partial small subunit ribosomal RNA". The record is from RNAcentral. Lineage: Eukaryota; Viridiplantae; Streptophyta; Magnoliopsida; Poales; Poaceae.
AUGCUACUGGAAGACAUCACUGUGAUUCGGGAUUCCUGUGCACCAGACACGUGUGUGGAGGCAAUAUCCGAAUGGACUUGUAGGGUACCUUGUUCAAAAUUGGGUGAACUGCUCACUGGCUGGAUUGUGUUACUGGCAUGUUUGCAACUUCCUUGCAUGUUCUUGAGCAAUAUUUGGACCCAUCCUCCCAUAAAGCGGUCUGGAGACCCUCGUCCUAAUCUUUUUCGUCUGAGGCACGUUAUAGGAAGCACUAUUACUAAAGACCGAGGGGUCCAACGUUUCUGCCAUGUACCAUUUGGAAGCACUAGAACUGGAGGCAAAAGUCUGUUGAAAUUAUUAAUAGUAAUGCUUGUUGAGUGGUGA